GUUCCAUGCUCCUGUGUCCUCCACUUCUCAGCCUUGGCCUGGCAUUCUGUGGGCUUCAACUGCAGCAAUAUGGGAGCACUUACACUGUUAGCUCAAACCAGCACUGGCACCUCCUGCCUCGGUCACCAACAGCCCAGACAAUCAACUCAAGCUCUCCCAGCCUCGAUUUCCCAGCGUGUAGGAGCCAAUGCACAACACAAGAUCAGCGCUCAAGACAAGACACCACCUUCUCCCUCUCUCCAUCGGUCCGGUUGGGCUUCCUUCCUCCCACAAAGGGCUCCUCCUCCCAUCAAUCACCUCUCCUAGCCUGCAGGACCUAUUAGGGCCACAGACAUGCCCUACCCCACCUCUGAGUGUCAGCCCCUACUGCCUUUCCUUGACAGGUGUCUACAAAGGGCAGCGCUCACAGCUGGAGCCAAUCAGUCGCAUGGCUGCCAGGCUCUGACCUACUUCCCAGUCAGAAUGAAGCAGAUGAUGCUGCUACUGAUUCAGCAAAGUCUUUUCUCCCUCUGCAAGCCGUCUCAGACAUGGGACACAAUGCAGAGUCUUGGAGUCAGGAACCUCAGAGCACAAGGGUCUACAAAGACUGGCCCAUCAGACAUAACCCUCUUAUUGUAUCAAUGUGGAGUCUGUGCUUCCUAGAGAACAGCAAAGUUUCCAGCAAAAAUCUACCCCAAAUUCCCCAAGCAUCAGGAGCAACAGCCUGGCCCCAAUUAAAUCCCAAGAAAGAGGCUUCCUAGCACCUUCCCUCAUCAGAGAAACUGUUCCCUGUAUUUUAGACUUUAAACACUUCCUCAUUCCACUCCAGGCAAAUGUUUUUUCUCCAUUAUUAAAUGUACCACGUCUCAAUAUGAUGAAAAAUUUCUCUAAUUUCUAUCCUCAUAAUGUAAU
This 891-nucleotide long non-coding RNA is filed under the name Fukomys damarensis (Damara mole-rat). Its description in RNAcentral is "lncRNA (ENSFDAG00000022381.1)". Lineage: Eukaryota; Metazoa; Chordata; Mammalia; Rodentia; Bathyergidae. The record is from RNAcentral.